AAGGUAGCAUAAUAAUUUGCCUCUUAAUUAGAGGCUGGAAUGAAUGAAUAUACGAGAGUUAAGCUGUUUCACUUCUACAAAUAAAAACUAAUCUUUAGGUGAAGAAGCCUAAAUCAUAUAAAAAGACAAAAAGACCCUAUUGAGCUUUACUAAAAUAAUUAAUUACAAAAAAGAACUUCUAUUUAAAUUUAAUUUUGCUAGUUUUGUUGGGGCGACAAAAGAAGAACUAAAUCUUCUUUAUAUAAAAGGACAUGCUCCUAAAAUGAUCCGAAUUAAUCGAUUAACAAAAACAGCUACCAUAGGGAUAACAGGCUAAUCUUCUUUGAGAGCCCAAAUUGACAAGAAGGAUUGGCACCUCGAUGUUGGCUUAGGAUACCUGUUAGAAUGCAGA
RNAcentral lists this ribosomal RNA (391 nucleotides) under Malacoceros cf. fuliginosus ZMBN 130818. RNAcentral describes it as "partial 16S ribosomal RNA". It matches the Rfam family "Bacterial large subunit ribosomal RNA", at positions 1953 to 2559 of the family's 2925-position model. The record is from RNAcentral. Lineage: Eukaryota; Metazoa; Annelida; Polychaeta; Spionida; Spionidae.